This is a non-coding RNA of Colletotrichum orbiculare MAFF 240422, 84 nucleotides long. The record is from Rfam. Lineage: Eukaryota; Fungi; Ascomycota; Sordariomycetes; Glomerellales; Glomerellaceae.
GGUGGAAUGGCCGAGUGGUCUAAGGCGACAGACUUAAGUUCUGUUGUGCGAAAGCACGCGUGGGUUCAAACCCCACUUCCAUCA